UACGUAGGGUGCAAGCGUUGUCCGGAAUUAUUGGGCGUAAAGGGCUCGUAGGCGGUCCGUCACGUCGGGAGUGAAAACUUGGGGCUUAACCCCAAGCCUGCUUCCGAUACGGGCAGACUAGAGUUCGGUAGGGGAGUCUGGAAUUCCUGGUGUAGCGGUGAAAUGCGCAGAUAUCGGGAGGAACACCCGUAGCGAAGGCGGCACUCUGGGCCGGUACUGACGCUGAGGAGCGAAAGCGUGGGGAGCAAACAGG
RNAcentral lists this ribosomal RNA (253 nucleotides) under uncultured bacterium. RNAcentral describes it as "partial 16S ribosomal RNA". It matches the Rfam family "Bacterial small subunit ribosomal RNA", at positions 524 to 776 of the family's 1533-position model. The record is from RNAcentral.